Molecule: ribosomal RNA, 253 nt
Filed under: uncultured bacterium
Lineage: Bacteria
Description: partial 16S ribosomal RNA
Rfam family: Bacterial small subunit ribosomal RNA
Source: RNAcentral
UACGGGGGGGGUAAGCGUUGUUCGGAAUUACUGGGCGUAAAGGGCUCGUAGGCGGCCAACUAAGUCAGACGUGAAAUCCCUCGGCUUAACCGGGGAACUGCGUCUGAUACUGGAUGGCUUGAGUUCGGGAGAGGGAUGCGGAAUUCCAGGUGUAGCGGUGAAAUGCGUAGAUAUCUGGAGGAACACCGGUGGCGAAGGCGGCAUCCUGGACCGGCAUUGACGCUGAGGCGCGAAAGCUAGGGGAGCAAACGGG